This 431-nucleotide ribosomal RNA is filed under the name uncultured bacterium. Its description in RNAcentral is "partial 16S ribosomal RNA". It matches the Rfam family "Bacterial small subunit ribosomal RNA", at positions 29 to 507 of the family's 1533-position model. The record is from RNAcentral.
AACGAACGCUGGCGGCAGGCUUAACACAUGCAAGUCGAGCGCCCCGCCAGGGGAGCGGCAGACGGGUGAGUAACGCGUGGGAACGUACCUUUUGGUUCGGAACAACUCCGGGAAACUGGAGCUAAUACCGGAUAAGCCCUAACGGGGAAAGAUUUAUCGCCGAAAGAUCGGCCCGCGUCUGAUUAGCUAGUUGGUGAGGUAACGGCUCACCAAGGCGACGAUCAGUAGCUGGUCUGAGAGGAUGAUCAGCCACACUGGGACUGAGACACGGCCCAGACUCCUACGGGAGGCAGCAGUGGGGAAUAUUGGACAAUGGGCGCAAGCCUGAUAAAGCCAUGCCGGGUGAGAGAUGAAGGCCUUAGGGUUGUAAAGCUCUUUUGUCCGGGAAGAUAAUGACUGUACCGGAAGAAUAAGCCCCGGCUAACUUCGUG